CAAGUUCCGUAGUGAACCUGCGGAAGAUCAUUAAAAAUGGAGUGCGUUGUUUUGUCACCAUUAAUAAUCCUACCCUUUGUGAAUUUGUUUGUGUAUAAUUUUUUCCAAUGAAAAAUAUUUGUCUAUCCUGAAGAAAGUAGAAUUACUUUUUUAGGGAGUAGAUUUAAUAAUUUUUCAGUGAAAGACCUUUUUUUAAAUUAAACUUUGUAUUCAUUGUCUAAUUGUAAAAAAAUAAUUUAAAACAACUUUGACAAUGGAUCUCUUGUUCUCGCAACGAUGAAGAACGCAGCAAAUGCGAUAAGUAAUGUGAAUGCAGAACGUGAAUCAUCAAUCUCGAACGCAUAUGCACUUUUUAGUUUACUAAAAAGUAUGUCUGUUGAGUAUCAGUAAAUAUUCUCAUAAAGCGUGCGCUUUUAUGGUUAUGAGUGUUUACAACGAUAACAGUUGUUUCACUUUAAAUUCAUUUUAAGCCAUCCGUUUGGUUUUAAAAUAAUUAAAAUUGGAUAAAUUUCCUGUAAAAGGAAUAACCUAUUUCAGUUUUAGUUUUUUAAUCCAAGCCAAGGCCAAACAAAGGAAUUUCAAUACAAUCAACUUGAUCUCAAUCAGAUAAGAUACCGCUGAACUUAAGCAUAUCAAUAAGCGGAGGAAAGAAACUACAAGGAUUCCUUAGUAACGGCGAGUGAAGCGGGAAGAGCUCAAAUUUGAAAUCUUCAGGUUUACCUUGACGAAUUGUAGUUUAAAGGAGUGUUUUCUGUUAGUGGAGUGGCAAAAGUUCUUUGGAAUAGGACAUCAUAGAGGGUGAGAAUCCGUAUUGGUCAUUCCUCCUAGCUUUGUGAUACACUUUCAAAGAGUCGGAUUGUUUGGGAUGCAGUCCAAAAUGGUGGUAAUUCAUCUAAGCUAAAUACUGGCGAGAGACGAUAGCGAACAAGUACCGUGAGGGAAAGAUGAAAGACUUUGAAAGAGAGUUAAACAGUACGUGAAAUUGUCAAAGGGAAGCGUUGACACCAGUGUUGUUGGAGAAUCAUUGUGUGGAACGGUUGUUGUGGGUUGAGACCUUAUCAGCUCUCCUUACUCUUUACCUUUUUCACGCAAUGCACUUCUCUUUAACAAGUCAACAUCAAUUCUUCUGUUGUAAAAGGUCAGCGGAAGGUGCUUCUUUUCGGAGAAGUGUUAUAGCCGUUGAUCUCUACAAUCGAGAGAUUGAGGUCUGCAGCGUAGAUCCUUCGGGUUAGAUACGUCGGUGCUAAGUUAUAAUCAUAUAGACACUUGUGAC
This 1273-nucleotide unclassified non-coding RNA is filed under the name uncultured Neocallimastigales. Its description in RNAcentral is "partial contains internal transcribed spacer 1, 5.8S ribosomal RNA, internal transcribed spacer 2, and large subunit ribosomal RNA". The stretch from base 594 to 1273 matches the Rfam family "Eukaryotic large subunit ribosomal RNA", at positions 1 to 626 of the family's 3401-position model. Lineage: Eukaryota; Fungi; Neocallimastigomycota; Neocallimastigomycetes; Neocallimastigales. The record is from RNAcentral.